CUCUUUCCCUUCGGUGUGGUGAGUAAGUGUAGUUGUCGUCUCUUGUAGUGCAGCUGCUGGUUCUCACACCUUUUAGGUCUGUUCUCGUCUUCCGUUCCGACUCUCUCUCUUUCGUUGCAGCCACUGAAGAUCCUGGUGUCGCCAUGGGCCGCCGCCCCGCCCGUUGUUACCGAUAUUGUAAGAACAAGCCGUACCCAAAGUCUCGCUUCUGCCGAGGUGUCCCUGAUGCCAAGAUUCGCAUUUUUGACCUGGGGCGGAAGAAGGCAAAAGUGGAUGAGUUUCCGCUCUGUGGCCACAUGGUAUCAGAUGAAUAUGAGCAGCUGUCCUCUGAAGCCCUGGAGGCUGCCCGAAUUUGUGCCAAUAAGUACAUGGUAAAAAGUUGUGGCAAAGAUGGCUUCCAUAUCCGGGUGAGGCUCCACCCCUUCCACGUCAUCCGCAUCAACAAGAUGUUGUCCUGUGCUGGGGCUGACAGGUGAGCUUGGUCUGGGCUUUUUAAGGCAGUUGGAGUCUCUACAUUAUUAGGCUUGCAUUAUUGCAUCAGAGCAUAGAGGUGGCCCCAGUGACUCAGCCACUAUGGCUACUAGAAAAGCCAGGCUGGCAAGUGACUUUCAGUGGUCACUCAGGACCCUUUCCUGUGGACUGUUGCGGAUACAAAGCAAGCAUGAGUAAGUCUUAGCAAGCUCUUCCCCACAGGUUAGGGCAAACACUUGUGAUUGGAGUAGCUCUUCUUGCUUUUAGCUUGAUGACAACCAUCUUGCCAGCAAGCAGGUAGUUGAAGCUGGCAGAGGAGCUCAGUGUCGCCUUUUCAAUGGUUCUUGGGAUGCUCUGCAGCCAAUUAAGCCGACUGAGUUCCUUUCCUCAUGGGGGCCCAGUGUGCAAUGGCUGCACACAGCAGCUUCCUUGGUAGUGUACGCAGCCUGUUGGUUGUAUGGGUUGCUCUAAGGGACCUUGGAGACAGGCCUUUCCGAUGGAUGUUCAUGUUUCUGACCUUGCACUACCCCAAUGUAGGCUCCAAACAGGCAUGCGAGGUGCCUUUGGAAAGCCCCAGGGCACUGUGGCCAGGGUUCACAUUGGCCAAGUUAUCAUGUCCAUCCGCACCAAGCUGCAGAACAAGGAGCAUGUGAUUGAGGCUCUGCGCAGGGCCAAGUUCAAGUUUCCUGGCCGCCAGAAGGUACGUAGUGCUGCAGCCCCCUUCUCCCACCUUUUUUGCCUCAGGCCUCCUGACUCAAUUCUUUCCAUUGCUCCCUAGAUCCACAUCUCAAAGAAGUGGGGCUUCACCAAGUUCAAUGCUGAUGAAUUUGAAGACAUGGUGGCUGAGAAGCGGCUCAUCCCAGAUGGCUGUGGGGUCAAGUACAUCCCCAAUCGUGGCCCUCUGGACAAGUGGCGGGCCCUGCACUCAUGAGGGCUUCCAAUGUGCUGCCCCCCUCUUAAUACUCACCAAUAAAUUCUACUUCCUGUCCA
Molecule: small RNA, 1461 nt
Filed under: Pongo abelii (Sumatran orangutan)
Lineage: Eukaryota; Metazoa; Chordata; Mammalia; Primates; Hominidae
Description: retained intron
Rfam family: Small nucleolar RNA SNORA70 (bases 826-960)
Source: RNAcentral